This 74-nucleotide transfer RNA is filed under the name Actinomadura hallensis. It matches the Rfam family "tRNA". Rfam says of the family: Transfer RNA (tRNA) molecules are approximately 80 nucleotides in length. Their secondary structure includes four short double-helical elements and three loops (D, anti-codon, and T loops). The record is from Rfam by way of RNAcentral. Lineage: Bacteria; Bacillati; Actinomycetota; Actinomycetes; Streptosporangiales; Thermomonosporaceae. RNAcentral also lists the same sequence under 1 other name.
CGCGGGGUGGAGCAGUUCGGCAGCUCGCUGGGCUCAUAACCCAGAGGUCGCAGGUUCAAAUCCUGCCCCCGCUA